GGAAUAUUACAUCGCGUCAAAACAUAGAAGCUCUGUUUUCGCGUCGCUUCAAGCACAUAGAAAGAAAGAGAAAGAGAGAUGGGAGGAGCUCAGGCGUUGAAGAGAAUCCCUCGCAUCAAGUUUCCGCAGAGACAUCUCAAAUCCUCUGGUUCUGCAUCACAUUCUCAAGAGGCAUCUACAACUGGAAAUGCUGAUCUAACUUUCUUCUCAAGUUCAAAAACUUCAACAACAGUUGGAGGGAAAGCUUCUCUUCAGCCUAAACGGACACCUCUCUCCAAUGAGGAGAUUGAGGCAAUCUUGUUGGGAGGCUGCAUCUGAUCUUUUCAUGGAACUUCAGUAAGAGAGUUGGCAUUCUUUUCAUGAUUCUUAAUUUGAAAGUGAAACAUUAGAAGUUUUCUAAUUCAUUGGCUUUUGUCGGAACUUGCUGAGGGAUAAAUUCAUAAAUCCUCAACGUUAGACAACAAAAAGAUAAUGAGAAAUUAACUUACGUUGGGCAUUUAUAUUUCUUUGAUGCUUAAUGUUGUUUGAUCAUUACAAAUAGAAUUUAUUUUUUAAUCAGAAAUAGAAUUUAUUUCAUUCUAAGCUGGAACUUACAGAAAAAUGCAGAAGCCAUAUGAGCAAAACAUAGAUGCAAGAGAAAAUAUAAACAGGUAGAUUAUUGAGAUUUCUCAAUUAUCUCUUCGAUUAUGACAGACCUGGGAUUUAUCCCGGGAGGGCCCUUUUCCCUGCGUUGAAGCUCUUCAAGCCGGAAAGUUAUUAGCCGAUCCCAGUUUCCUCCUUCAAAAAGAACUGCUGCCUUCCCAUCAGUGAUUCGCUGAACAAUACCACAGUACUUGUAGUAUGGGUUGUUUGGGUUAUUCACAAUGGCAAUCAUUCCAGGCAUCAGUAGCGGUAAUUCAGGUGGUUCUGGCUUCUUUGUAGCAGUAAGCCCCUGUAUAUCUCCUGAAUCCGCAGCAGACUGUUUUUUAGGAGGUGGGUUUUCUUCUAUGAACUUUUUCAAUCCUUUUUCUCCACCAGGAAAUCCCCCUGUUAACCCCAUUAGCUCCUUUUCAAAAGCAUCUUCUGGGACACUACCAGUCGUUGGUGCUUCCAAGGUGCCUGAAUUUUCCCCUUUAGCAGGGGCUGGUGAUGAUUCAACGUCUCUCUUUAGCUCUUGUUGGAUACCUUUUUCCCCAUUGCAGAGUCCUCUGCCUCCCAGCAUCUCCAACAGGUCGAAUUUGGCACAUGGCUUUAGCUUAAAUCUCGACUCCUUGGGAAUCAAAGGGUAUGGCCUGCGAGGGCCAUUGGAGAGGCUAUUUUGGCCAAAGAAUUGGGAUCUAAACAGAGAACCUUGAAGAGUGAUCGAAGAAGCCAUGGUCAUUCAGAAGCCUACCCUUUGAGGAGAGGAAAAGCAUCCUAUUCUAAUCCUGGCCAC
Molecule: unclassified non-coding RNA, 1414 nt
Filed under: Hevea brasiliensis (rubber tree)
Lineage: Eukaryota; Viridiplantae; Streptophyta; Magnoliopsida; Malpighiales; Euphorbiaceae
Source: RNAcentral